This 90-nucleotide non-coding RNA is filed under the name Pseudomonas orientalis. Lineage: Bacteria; Pseudomonadati; Pseudomonadota; Gammaproteobacteria; Pseudomonadales; Pseudomonadaceae. The record is from RNAcentral.
UGUCGCGGCAGCUGUACGCGGGAUACCUUCGGGUAUGCCGGUUUUGCUCCUUUUGACCGGUCGGUCAACCCGCGUAUUGCUGCCACCCUC